GUUUAUUGCUCUCGCAUUGGCUCCCCAGUCUCACAUUUGCAGGAAGGGAAGGCUAGGAAUGCUUCUGGCUGGGGAAGUGUGGUUUGCAAAACAACAGAACCUGUGACAACAACAGGCUGGAGCUGGAGGCAGAUAAGCUGGAGCCACCAUGCAGAUAUGGAAGCAUCGUGACUGUGCGUCUCUGGCCUGUUGUUAUCUCAGCCCAUUCCAACCCUCUGCAACUUGAUGGUGUUUUGGAUGACAUCUCUGGCUGUGAUGGGAGCUGUAGUCCAAAAUAACUGGAGGGCACCAGGUUGAUGAAAUCAGCAAUAGCAAG
Molecule: long non-coding RNA, 316 nt
Organism: Lacerta agilis (Sand lizard)
Lineage: Eukaryota; Metazoa; Chordata; Lepidosauria; Squamata; Lacertidae
Exons: 3
Source: RefSeq, a predicted model, not a curated record